UUGAACGCUGGCAGCAUGCUUUACACAUGCAAGUCGAACGGCAGCGCGGGCUUCGGCCUGGCGGCGAGUGGCGAACGGGUGAGUAAUGCAUCGGAACGUGCCCAGUAGUGGGGGAUAGCCCGGCGAAAGCCGGAUUAAUACCGCAUACGACCUGAGGGUGAAAGCGGGGGACCGAAAGGCCUCGCGCUAUUGGAGCGGCCGAUGUCGGAUUAGCUAGUUGGUGGGGUAAAGGCUUACCAAGGCGACGAUCCGUAGCUGGUCUGAGAGGACGACCAGCCACACUGGGACUGAGACACGGCCCAGACUCCUACGGGAGGCAGCAGUGGGGAAUUUUGGACAAUGGGGGCAACCCUGAUCCAGCCAUGCCGCGUGCGGGAAGAAGGCCUUCGGGUUGUAAACCGCUUUUGUUCGGGAAGAAAUCCUCUGGGCUAAUACCCCGGGGGGAUGACGGUACCGGAAGAAUAAGCACCGGCUAACUACGUG
Molecule: ribosomal RNA, 483 nt
Filed under: uncultured bacterium
Lineage: Bacteria
Description: partial 16S ribosomal RNA
Rfam family: Bacterial small subunit ribosomal RNA
Source: RNAcentral